Molecule: long non-coding RNA, 648 nt
Organism: Xenia sp. Carnegie-2017
Lineage: Eukaryota; Metazoa; Cnidaria; Anthozoa; Malacalcyonacea; Xeniidae
Exons: 2
Source: RefSeq, a predicted model, not a curated record
CUACAGUCAACUACUGUCAUCUACAGUUAUCUACAGUCUACAGUCAUGUACAGUCAUCUACAUUCAUCUACAGUCAUCUACAGUCAUCUACUAGUCAUCUACUGUCAUCUACAGUUAUCUACAGUCAUCUACAGUCAUGUACAGUCAUCUACAUUCAUCUACUGUCAUCUACUGUCAUCUACUAGUGUCAUCUACUAGUGUCAUCUACUGUCAUCUACAGUCAUCUACAGUCAUCUACAGUCAUCUACAUUCAUCUACUGUCAUCUACAGUCAUCUACUGUCAUCUACAGUAUCUACAGUCAUCUACAGUCAUCUGUAGUCAUCUACAGUCAUGGGCUCGAGCCACGUUCGCCCAGUGAACCCAAAAUUUAAAUAACUGUAAUGAUGACCGAAGCCAAAAAUUGAAGCCAAAAAAUAUAUUUGUCGUCAUCAUUCUUCAUCACUCGUGUUUCUCGAGUGUUUAUAAACAAUUUGCAUUUUUUCGAAUCCUAGAUCUUUAGUUUGACCUCAGUUGAUUUCAUUUUACUAGUCAGUUUUAUCUUCACAAAGAAAGUCUUUUGAAUUAUACUUAUUUCAAUUCUACAUCAUCCUCAGUGCAAAAGUAUUAUUACGUUUUUCAAAUAAACUAAAAGGAUUUGUUGGUAUGAA